Molecule: ribosomal RNA, 253 nt
Filed under: uncultured bacterium
Lineage: Bacteria
Description: partial 16S ribosomal RNA
Rfam family: Bacterial small subunit ribosomal RNA
Source: RNAcentral
GACGAAGGAUGCAAGCGUUAUCCGGAUUCACUGGGUUUAAAGGGAGCGUAGGUGGCCUUAUAAGUCAGUGGUGAAAUCUCUGGGCUUAACCCAGAAAUUGCCAUUGAUACUGUAGGGCUUGAGUACAGUUGCUGUGGGCGGAAUAUGACAUGUAGUGGUGAAAUACAUAGAGAUGUCAUAGAACACCGAUUGCGAAGGCAGCUCACAAAACUGUAACUGACACUGAGGCUCGAAAGUGCGGGGAUCAAACAGG